This 1080-nucleotide ribosomal RNA is filed under the name human gut metagenome. RNAcentral describes it as "bacterial LSU rRNA". It matches the Rfam family "Bacterial large subunit ribosomal RNA", at positions 1638 to 2703 of the family's 2925-position model. The record is from RNAcentral.
CCGCCCGUACCGUAAACCGACACAGGUAUGCGGGGAGAGAAUCCUAAGGUGCGCGGGAGAACCCUCGUUAAGGAACUCGGCAAAAUGUACCCGUAACUUCGGGAUAAGGGUAGCCACUGUUGUGAAGUCCCAUGCGGAUGGAGCAUAGAGUGGUCGCAGAGAAGAGGCCCAAGCGACUGUUUACCAUAAACACAGGUGCCUGCUAAAGCGAAAGCUGACGUAUAGGUGCUGACACCUGCCCAGUGCCGGAAGGUUAAGGAAGGAUGUUCGGAGUAAUCCAAAGCAUUCGACUGAAGCCCCGGUGAACGGCGGCCGUAACUAUAACGGUCCUAAGGUAGCGAAAUUCCUUGUCGGGUAAGUUCCGACCCGCACGAAAGGUGUAACGAUUUGGGCACUGUCUCAACGAGGGACCCGGUGAAAUUGAAAUACCUGUGAAGAUGCAGGUUACCCGCGACUGGACAGAAAGACCCCAUGGAGCUUUACUGUAACCUGACAUUGGGUUUUGAUACAUUACGUACAGGAUAGGUGGGAGGCUUGGAAAGCUGGACGCUAGUCUGGCUGGAGCCGACGUUGGGAUACCACCCUUGAUGUAUUGAAAUUCUAACCGCGAGAGUAACGAAAUCCGGGACAGUGUCAGGCGGGCAGUUUGACUGGGGCGGUCGCCUCCGAAAGAGUAACGGAGGCGCCCAAAGGUUCCCUCAGCGCGGCCGGAAAUCGCGCGAAGAGUGUAAAGGCAGAAGGGAGCUUGACUGCGAGUCAAACACGACGAGCAGGUACGAAAGUAGGGCUUAGUGAUCCGGUGGUACCGAGUGGAAGGGCCAUCGCUCAACGGAUAAAAGCUACCCUGGGGAUAACAGGCUAAUCUCUCCCAAGAGUCCAUAUCGACGGGGAGGUUUGGCACCUCGAUGUCGGCUCAUCACAUCCUGGGGCUGAAGUCGGUCCCAAGGGUUGGGCUGUUCGCCCAUUAAAGUGGUACGUGAGCUGGGUUCAGAACGUCGUGAGACAGUUCGGUCCCUAUCCAUCGCGGGCGCAAGAGAUUUGAAGGGGGCUGCUCCUAGUACGAGAGGACCGGAGUGGACG